Molecule: unclassified non-coding RNA, 205 nt
Filed under: Hevea brasiliensis (rubber tree)
Lineage: Eukaryota; Viridiplantae; Streptophyta; Magnoliopsida; Malpighiales; Euphorbiaceae
Source: RNAcentral
GUAAAACUAGUUGUUAUAUGGCAAUAUCGUCCAGGGAUGAUUAUUUCUGGAAUUCUGUUAGCUGUAAAGUUGCUAACUUCUUCAUAGAGUUAUUUUGGAAAUCGUAGAACUACAGUGUUUACUAUUUUUUUUUAACCACUAUAAUGCAUCCUGCUACAAAAUGAGAUCUUUUCUUACAGUGACUGCGUCAUUCGUUUUGUCUUCU